GUCUGGGUGUUUUUCCUUAGAAACAAAGGCUUCCAUCUUGCCACCCUACCCCACAGCCCAGACAUAUGAAUAAUAUGGGAAAUUGUUGUCACAUGUAGGACACAACCAGUACUUGCC
This is a long non-coding RNA of Nanorana parkeri, 117 nucleotides long. RefSeq lists it as uncharacterized. NCBI's taxonomy places the organism in Eukaryota, Metazoa, Chordata, Amphibia, Anura, Dicroglossidae. The transcript is spliced from 4 exons. The record is from RefSeq and is a predicted model, not a curated record.